UGAGAGCGGCGGACGGGUGAGUAAUGCCUAGGAAUCUGCCUGGUAGUGGGGGAUAACGUUCGGAAACGGACGCUAAUACCGCAUACGUCCUACGGGAGAAAGCAGGGGACCUUCGGGCCUUGCGCUAUCAGAUGAGCCUAGGUCGGAUUAGCUAGUUGGUGGGGUAAUGGCUCACCAAGGCGACGAUCCGUAACUGGUCUGAGAGGAUGAUCAGUCACACUGGAACUGAGACACGGUCCAGACUCCUACGGGAGGCAGCAGUGGGGAAUAUUGGACAAUGGGCGAAAGCCUGAUCCAGCCAUACCGCGUGUGUGAAGAAGGUCUUCGGAUUGUAAAGCACUUUAAGUUGGGAGGAAGGGUUGUAGAUUAAUACUNUGCAAUUUUGACGUUACCGACAG
Molecule: ribosomal RNA, 398 nt
Filed under: uncultured bacterium
Lineage: Bacteria
Description: bacterial SSU rRNA
Rfam family: Bacterial small subunit ribosomal RNA
Source: RNAcentral